RNAcentral lists this ribosomal RNA (1343 nucleotides) under uncultured bacterium. RNAcentral's name for it is "16S ribosomal RNA". It matches the Rfam family "Bacterial small subunit ribosomal RNA", at positions 28 to 1378 of the family's 1533-position model. The record is from RNAcentral.
GACGAACGCUUGCGGCGUGCUUAACACAUGCAAGUCGAACGGAAAGGCCCUGCUUUUGUGGGGUGCUCGAGUGGCGAACGGGUGAGUAACACGUGAGUAACCUGCCCUUGACUUUGGGAUAACUUCAGGAAACUGGGGCUAAUACCGGAUAGGAGCUCCUGCUGCAUGGUGGGGGUUGGAAAGUUUCGGCGGUUGGGGAUGGACUCGCGGCUUAUCAGCUUGUUGGUGGGGUAGUGGCUUACCAAGGCUUUGACGGGUAGCCGGCCUGAGAGGGUGACCGGCCACAUUGGGACUGAGAUACGGCCCAGACUCCUACGGGAGGCAGCAGUGGGGAAUAUUGCACAAUGGGCGGAAGCCUGAUGCAGCAACGCCGCGUGCGGGAUGACGGCCUUCGGGUUGUAAACCGCUUUCGCCUGUGACGAAGCGUGAGUGACGGUAAUGGGUAAAGAAGCACCGGCUAACUACGUGCCAGCAGCCGCGGUGAUACGUAGGGUGCGAGCGUUGUCCGGAUUUAUUGGGCGUAAAGGGCUCGUAGGUGGUUGAUCGCGUCGGAAGUGUAAUCUUGGGGCUUAACCCUGAGCGUGCUUUCGAUACGGGUUGACUUGAGGAAGGUAGGGGAGAAUGGAAUUCCUGGUGGAGCGGUGGAAUGCGCAAAUAUCAGGAGGAACACCAGUGGCGAAGGCGGUUCUCUGGGCCUUUCCUGACGCUGAGGAGCGAAAGCGUGGGGAGCGAACAGGCUUAAAUACCCUGGUAGUCCACGCUGUAAACGGUGGGUACUAGGUGUGGGGUCCAUUCCACGGGUUCCGUGCCGUAGCUAACGCUUUAAGUACCCCGCCUGGGGAGUACGGCCGCAAGGCUAAAACUCAAAGGAAUUGACGGGGCCCCGCACAAGCGGCGGAGCAUGCGGAUUAAUUCGAUGCAACGCGUAGAACCUUACCUGGGUUUGACAUGGAUCGGGAGUGCUCAGAGAUGGGUGUGCCUCUUUUGGGGUCGGUUCACAGGUGGUGCAUGGCUGUCGUCAGCUCGUGUCGUGAGAUGUUGGGUUAAGUCCCGCAACGAGCGCAACCCUUGUUCACUGUUGCCAGCACGUUAUGGUGGGGACUCAGUGGAGACCGCCGGGGCCAACUCGGAGGAAGGUGGGGAUGACGUCAAGUCAUCAUGCCCCUUAUGUCCAGGGCUUCACGCAUGCUACAAUGGCUGGUACAGAGAGUGGCGAGCCUGUGAGGGUGAGCGAAUCUCGGAAAGCCGGUCUCAGUUCGGAUUGGGGUCUGCAACUCGACCUCAUGAAGUCGGAGUCGCUAGUAAUCGCAGAUCAGCAACGCUGCGGUGAAUACGUUCCCGGG